UUUCCCACGCAGGGAAUCGAACCCGGACCUUCUGGGUGAAAGCCAGAUAUCCUAGCCAUUAGAUCUGGGGU
Molecule: transfer RNA, 71 nt
Filed under: Cordylochernes scorpioides
Lineage: Eukaryota; Metazoa; Arthropoda; Arachnida; Pseudoscorpiones; Chernetidae
Description: tRNA-Glu
Source: RNAcentral